GGACCAGGAUUCUAAAUGAGACCUGAGGGAAUGGAGCUGUUGUUGACAAGAGCUGUUAGACAAACAGGACAUGGAGGAGGAGUGGUCAUGCAUACCUCAAUGGGACAAAGUAUCUCCUCUGAGACUUCAGAAAAUCCUUUUCUUCUGGAGCCACUCUGUUCUGGAUUACCCUGAGAUUUUAAUGAGAUAAAGUCUAGAGAUGUAUAUAACUUUUCUGCAUCAUUUUGGAAUUUUAAUGAGAUGAAACGAGACCCAGAGACACCUGUUCUAGACCACUUUGGGAUCUUAAUGAGGUAAGGCUAACGGAGGAUGGACUAAAUUCAUUUUUUCCCAAGCUGUUCAGAGACCAAAUACACAGACAAGAAAUGCAAACAUAUGGAUGAAGUCUUCCAAAUUGCUACUUCCUCUAACUCCUUUUCUAAUCUUCAUGUUGUUUCUUUUUUAUUUAGAGUGUGUGUGUUGGUAGGUGUCAUCAGUGGAGGGCUGGUGGUUGGAAGUUAGAGGAGUAGCUGUUUAUGAAUUCUAGACCUGGACAGUCUUUGUCAUUAAGUUGAUAUGUGACCCCAUGGAUGCAAACAGGUUGAAGACAAGAGCUCUCUUUAAUGGAACCUGAACAGUGCCUAACUCCUGUAGAUAUUCACUGAAUGUUAAAUAACAACAGUGAUCAUGUAAUAAUGAUGCCCAAUUCACUUGGGAGAGAAUACCAAAUAGCUUGGAAUUUUCCUGUUACUGCCAGCAUGGCCUGAGAGCAUCCUGAGAGAGGUCAAAAGUCCGUCUGACUCACCUGUGCUGAGUGACUUGAAUGCCAUCUAAUCUAACUUCAAGGUGAGGACAGUCUGUUCUGAAGGUCUACACAUUAAUGCUUCCUAUUGGGAAUUCAAAUCGGCAAUUUGUUCUUCUUCUGGUUGUUUGAAUCUUCAAAAUAGAGGGAAGACACCUGGAUGAAACAUUUUCACAGACUCUGCAAUUCCCUUAAGAGGAUCCCAGAGCCCUUAAGCUUCUCUUAGAUUCCUCUGAUUUUUUUCAGCCCAAGGACUGUUACCACAUGUCUUCCAUCUUGCCCACAAUUUUAGCAGG
This 1077-nucleotide long non-coding RNA is filed under the name Homo sapiens (human). RNAcentral describes it as "HSALNT0311106". Lineage: Eukaryota; Metazoa; Chordata; Mammalia; Primates; Hominidae. The record is from RNAcentral.